CCAAACCUAAAAAGCCAAAGAAAAAGAAGGGCGUAAAAAAGAAUGAGGUGAAAAAGGAAAGUAACAACAACUUUGCAUGGUCUGCGUU
RNAcentral lists this non-coding RNA (88 nucleotides) under Attheya septentrionalis. The record is from RNAcentral. Lineage: Eukaryota; Bacillariophyta; Biddulphiophyceae; Attheyales; Attheyaceae.